Molecule: RNA transcript, 4038 nt
Organism: Cygnus olor (mute swan)
Lineage: Eukaryota; Metazoa; Chordata; Aves; Anseriformes; Anatidae
Exons: 8
Source: RefSeq, a predicted model, not a curated record
CAAACUGUUUUAGUAUCUAUUUUAAAUUUUUUCACAUUUGUGCAGCCUGGUCAUUGUGGGCCGACUAUUACGUGACCACCGUCAGCACCCUGUCACAUUAUUAAUGAAUUUGACCUGUUUUGUAUUUAUAAUUCCACCAUCCAGCAAAGCAUUGUAGGAAAUCAAAGUCUUAAAACUGAACUGAUUUAACCACAAGAGUAAUUGAAUGAUAUAAAUAGUCAAACUCAUUGAACUUUUACAUAUACAGCUUCCUGUUAAGAAUUGUUAUACUCUACUUUUCAAAACUAUGCAGUCAUGAUUCAGUUAUGAACAGAGAAACAGGCAACUGUGCAAAUAAUGAGGGCUGUGAGAUGUGUGCUUGGAUGGGAGGAAAUGGGUAGAGAAGGGUGAUGGUGGAAAUAAGUUAAAAAGAUAAGAGUAGAUGCAGGACUUGUGAUGGUGUGUCUUUAGGCAUUUCUGUUUGCUUGUUCCUGGUGUGUGUGUUUUGUUCUUGUAAUCAGAAGUGUGGCUCUCUAACGUGGAUGUAAGGAAGGGACAAGAAAAGGGGUAGGGGGAGAACAGAAGAAGUGGCUGUCACUAGAUGGCAGAACAAGCUUGGCUGAGAGCAACUGAGGAGCUGCUGCGGGCCUUUGCAGUGGAUUUUACAGCACAUAGGGCUGCUUAGCCAUUUGUUUUACUUUUUUUUUUUUCUCUCCCCUCUUGCAGCACGCAGGAUAGUCCUGCCUGUGAGCCAUAGGGCCCUCAUGACCGUGGCAGCUCCAUCCUCUCCUGUUCUGUCAUUCAGAAGUAGUAAGAGUCAGGUAGAAGGAAGAGGGACACUGUUCUGAACAGCAAGCUCUUUCCUUAAAUCUGCUUUUCUCUGUAGCGUCAGUAAUUGCUCAUUUUCAGCAGGGUGGUUUUAAAAGCUCCAUAAAGAGGUAAAUGCAGUGAGUAAAGUCCAAUAGCCUAAUGUUGGAUUAAAUAGUACAGUGAGAAGGACUGUUACAGCAAGUCGUGAUGAGGAUGACAACAUUCUGGGAUGUGCACUACAAAUCAAACAUUGCACUCACUGAAUCUUUAGUUAGUUAACUGUGUUCUUUUGCAUGUUCUGCCUUUGACUACAGACCAUGACAGAGCAUUUCACCAAAUGAGUCUUUCUGAACUACAGAUAAAACACCAAAUUUUGUCCGUCGUUUUUGAAAAGAGAAAUUUCAUUCGACAUUUUGAAACAAAAAUGCUAUUUAUUUGCAUAUUUCUGAAGAUAAAUUGUCUUUAGCACUUUCUAAGGAACUCACUCACCACUAAGUGAUUGAUCUAAUAUCAUUUGGAACUUUAGGAGAGUAUGAGACUCUGACAGAGAAUCUCUCAUAAGGUGUCUCUCAGGGAGAGUUACAGAAGCAACAGAUAAAGUUAGCAUGCCAGAUGUAGCGAUAUGUUGAGUGGUGUCCAUUCCCAAAGCAAAAUCUGGACUUAUGUAUCCCUGUUAAAGUGGUGGGAAAUAAUCUAGGUUUGUGCUGAUGUCAAUGAGAAUAAAAUGUAGCUGCUUGUUGCUUGCUCAGACUCAUAACACUUUGCCAGGCAGAGGGUGUUGACAGAAUGGGAAAAUCUAGGUCGGCCUAAAACAAUCCAGUUUACACUACUAAAAGAAAAUAAAACAUUUAUUUGUGCUCAUCCAGCUAGUUGCAAUAAGGAGAUGGUGAUGGGGAACAAUGAUCUGAAAGGUAUCUGGGGACAAAUUAAACCUUACUGAAAUGCUACAGGUGCUGUGGCUUAUUUGUGAACCAAUGUAAAAGAGCUAUGACACAGGAAAGGAAUGUGUUCUAAAGACUUGCUCAAGAAGCAGAGUCAGAAGUCAGACACUACUUCCUCAUUCCUGCCAUUGGAAUGUAAAAACUCAGCCUGCAAAACCCCACUGCCAUUACGUACCUCCUCCUACCCUGACACACUCAAAGUCCUUAGAAAACACUGAUUAACUAAGUUGAAAAAUAUGUUUGUGAGCUGUUGUAAUACAUAAAACUGAAUUUUAGGACUCAGUCGGGUGCUAACUUGGUAGUUGCUACUAAUAUACAAGAGUAGAGACUUUUGUGGGGAUAGAAUUGAGAAGAUGGAAACUCUCAGUCCUGUAGCCAUAGUACAGUCCUGUCAGAAAUGUAUUACAGUUAGGCUCACUUAUGCUCUUAAACUUCUUUUAGUAACCUUAGUGGCAUUUGGAAUGUAAAAGAAUGGAAAUUGAUCCCAGCAAAAGAGUGGUAAGCGUAGACUAGAAGUAAUUCUUAAUAAUACCUGUCUGCUUCUCAAGGAAUGCAGUGGAACAUCUAUGCACAAAUAAAGCUUAUUCAUUGGGAAAAAAAAGAAAACAAAACAAAAAAAAGAAAAAUAAGCAUUGAGUUCAAUAUAGAGUUAGGGUGGAAGCAAAGAGUAGAAAAUAAGAAUGUUCUUCCUAAAUUUUCCCUAAACUAAACAAUUACUUAAUCUAAAUAAAUGCUGUUUUGAAAUUGACCUACAUUUGAUUUUGUAAUUUAAUGAUAAACUUAAAAAAAUAAUAAUUUUAAAUCUUCUAAAAUUGAAACAGGUAACACAGAUUUUUUUCCAGUAACCCAAAAUGAUCACAGUUUGUUAGUUUUUGAUUAUAGGUGGAUGCCAACCAACAUUUUCUGUAGUUUUUGUUCAGAGUACUAAAAAAAUUGUGUAUUUGUCACUUUUAAUGAAACUCAUACAUUCAAUAUACUCAAUCUGCUUAUAGUAAACAAAUACAUAGAUACAAAGCAAAGUUGUUUAAUUAGUCUGCCUAGAGAAGAUAGAAGAAGCUACAUUUCCAUGCCAAAACUAUGGUUUUCCUGUGUUUGCAGACUCAUCAAUCAAAAUUGACAGUAUGAUUUGUAAGAGCUGCAGCUGACAACUUUUUGAAUCCCAUUUGUCUGAUAUGCCUAUUAACUGCUUCAGUACCAGCAGGACAGCAAUCUAAACAAAUUCAUCUGCGCCCUUACAGCAGAAGAACCUGGCAUAUUGGUCCUGGGUUCUGCAGAAGACGAGGGAUAUUUUUCCACUGACCCUUGUGAUCUUUGGACCAAGUCUGUUACUUGCUGUUGUUCCCCAAGGGCUCACAGACAGGCAGUGCGCUCAGGGGGCUUUUCCACUUGGAGGCAGAAUCAGAACGUCUUUCUUGAGGACAGACUGAAGGAUGAGGCUUUCAGAUCUCUGCAGGAUGUCAUCCAGGGGACUUCUUCCCAUGUUCUCACUUGCUUCUGGAAGGGGCUGCCCCCCAUUGAGGCAAACACUGGAUAAGGUUACUGGUUGUUAAGAGUCCUGUGGUACAGCAACAGUGAAGGUCAGAAUCCCAUUAUGACAAUGUGAUGACCAAACAAGGCAGUGACUGUUGAACCAGAACUCCCGUUGGAAGGAGACACUUACUGUUCAAACUGCAGUGCCUUUGCUUCUUCCGUUCUUAGAUUGUUCUCACCUCCCUGAUGGACAGAACAGAGAGAGCCCAAAGGGAAGCUUUAUCCACGGUGUUCCUGUGAAUCACCUUUGCCCGGCUACCUUAGCUUGGACAGUCCAGUUUUCUUUCUGUUACUCAGGUUCUUCCCAGCAACUCCCUUAAGAAAAAUUGUACAAGGACAGGACCAAGAAAGCAUGUGGAGGCACAGUGGUCUGUAUCUACAGGAUUGGGGACUCUCAUCUUACUGAAGGGCCUGGCUAACAAACCAAGGAUGGUAUCAUAAGAACUGACCAGGAUAGUGUUUUCUUGCCGUGUCUGGAUCCAUGUCCUCUCUGCACACCCUGUGACUGUAACUUCAAGUGGCAGUGCUUGAAUUCAGCAUGCAGUUCUUGUCUUCCAUGUACACCCGGGCAUGUCACCCAGGGCAUUGCUCUAAGUUCAGGUCACACUUGAGAGUGUGAACUGGGGGAGGAACGGGGAGAGAAAAGAUAGCUGGGAGGGGUAAGGAAGGGACUUGGGUGGGAAAGAUAUUGGCUUGUGUUCGUUAAUUCUUGAUCUUUAAGGGGGAAAAAAUGGAAAAAGUAAUGAGUGCUGGUUUGAAAUAAAACAGUCAAAUUGUA